CGCAAGCCUGAUGCAGCGACGCCGCGUGAGGGAUGACGGCCUUCGGGUUGUAAACCUCUUUCAGUAGGGAAGAAGCGAAAGUGACGGUACCUGCAGAAGAAGCGCCGGCUAACUACGUGCCAGCAGCCGCGGUAAUACGUAGGGCGCAAGCGUUAUCCGGAAUUAUUGGGCGUAAAGAGCUCGUAGGCGGUUUGUCGCGUCUGCCGUGAAAGUCCGGGGCUCAACUCCGGAUCUGCGGUGGGUACGGGCAGACUAGAGUGAUGUAGGGGAGACUGGAAUUCCUGGUGUAGCGGUGAAAUGCGCAGAUAUCAGGAGGAACACCGAUGGCGAAGGCAGGUCUCUGGGCAUUAACUGACGCUGAGGAGCGAAAGCAUGGGGAGCGAACAGGAUUAGAUACCCUGGUAGUCCAUGCCGUAAACGUUGGGCACUAGGUGUGGGGGACAUUCCACGUUUUCCGCGCCGUAGCUAACGCAUUAAGUGCCCCGCCUGGGGAGUACGGCCGCAAGGCUAAAACUCAAAGGAAUUGACGGGGGCCCGCACAAGCGGCGGAGCAUGCGGAUUAAUUCGAUGCAACGCGAAGAACCUUACCAAGGCUUGACAUGAACCGGAAACGCCUGGAGACAGGUGCCCCGCUUGCGGUCGGUUUACAGGUGGUGCAUGGUUGUCGUCAGCUCGUGUCGUGAGAUGUUGGGUUAAGUCCCGCAACGAGCGCAACCCUCGUUCUAUGUUGCCAGCACGUGAUGGUGGGGACUCAUAGGAGACUGCCGGGGUCAACUCGGAGGAAGGUGGGGACGACGUCAAAUCAUCAUGCCCCUUAUGUCUUGGGCUUCACGCAUGCUACAAUGGCCGGUACAAAGGGUUGCGAUACUGUGAGGUGGAGCUAAUCCCAAAAAGCCGGUCUCAGUUCGGAUUGGGGUCUGCAACUCGACCCCAUGAAGUCGGAGUCGCUAGUAAUCGCAGAUCAGCAACGCUGCGGUGAAUACGUUCCCGGGCCUUGUACACACCGCCCGUCAAGUCACGAAAAUUGGUAACACCCGAAGCCGGUGGCCUAACCCCUUGUGGGAGGGAGCUGUCGAAGGUGGACUGACCGACUG
Molecule: ribosomal RNA, 1094 nt
Filed under: Pseudarthrobacter scleromae
Lineage: Bacteria; Bacillati; Actinomycetota; Actinomycetes; Micrococcales; Micrococcaceae
Description: bacterial SSU rRNA
Rfam family: Bacterial small subunit ribosomal RNA
Source: RNAcentral